This 430-nucleotide ribosomal RNA is filed under the name Bacillota bacterium. Its description in RNAcentral is "Firmicutes bacterium partial 16S ribosomal RNA". It matches the Rfam family "Bacterial small subunit ribosomal RNA", at positions 355 to 776 of the family's 1533-position model. The record is from RNAcentral. Lineage: Bacteria; Bacillati; Bacillota.
UGGGGAAUAUUGGACAAUGGGCGCAAGCCUGAUCCAGCCAUGCCGCGUGUGUGAAGAAGGCCUUUUGGUUGUAAAGCACUUUAAGCGAGGAGGAGGCUACUUGGAUUAAUACUCUAAGAUAGUGGACGUUACUCGCAGAAUAAGCACCGGCUAACUCUGUGCCAGCAGCCGCGGUAAUACAGAGGGUGCGAGCGUUAAUCGGAUUUACUGGGCGUAAAGCGUGCGUAGGCGGCUUCUUAAGUCGGAUGUGAAAACCCUGAGCUUAACUUAGGAAUUGCAUUCGAUACUGGGAAGCUAGAGUAUGGGAGAGGAUGGUAGAAUUCCAGGUGUAGCGGUGAAAUGCGUAGAGAUCUGGAGGAAUACCGAUGGCGAAGGCAGCCAUCUGGCCUAAUACUGACGCUGAGGUACGAAAGCAUGGGGAGCAAACAGG